This 534-nucleotide ribosomal RNA is filed under the name Triticum aestivum (bread wheat). RNAcentral describes it as "partial small subunit ribosomal RNA". Lineage: Eukaryota; Viridiplantae; Streptophyta; Magnoliopsida; Poales; Poaceae. The record is from RNAcentral.
AUGGAGAAGGGCAAGGGCCUCGCCCGCCGCUGGGCAGUGGAGCUCCACGACGCAUCUUCCUCCUCAUCCUCGCCUGCCUUCCCCGAUCCUCCCGGCUUCACCAGAUCUGCCCCGGAAGCGGAUGACGCCGCCAGCGCGCGGCAGCGCAAGGAGACCGAAGCCGCCUGGAAGGGGCAGAAGGCCUGGGAGGUGGCGCAGGCGCCCUUCAAGAACCUGAUGAUGAUGGGUUUUAUGAUGUGGAUGGCCGGGAGCACAGUCCACCUGUUCAGCAUUGGCAUCGUCUUCUCUGCUCUCUGGCAGCCCUUCAACGCACUCCGAUCUGUCGGGAAAGUUUUUGAACCAUUUAAGGACCCAAGGGUGGAUACACUUGCACCUAAGUUGCUCUUCACUGCUCUCAACUUGGCCGCUAUGGGUUUGGGUGUUUGGAAGCUCAAUACAUUGGGUCUUCUUCCAACAAAUGCAUCAGACUGGGUAUCUUCACUGUCUCCUGCUCGGGAGGUUGAAUAUGCUGGUGGAGGGAUCCCCUUGAUGUAA